UAAAUGAAUUACGCUGAGAAACACGAACCAACUUCCCCAAACAGUUCGUAAACUGUAUGUGAACAGUUCAGCCCUAAAACUCCCAAUUCCAAUCCCGAAAUCAUCCCUCAAAACCCACCGGAAUCACCAAAUCCAAUUCUCACCAAUCAGCUCCGGUUGUACGGAAAACAAACCAGGAGAAGACCCAUGAUUACGAUGAACAUGGCCGGAGCCAUCUGCAUCUCUCACCGGCUACAGCUUACCCAUCAUCCACAACUAAAGUUUCGUAACGGUAUUCGGUGUUCGAAUACGAAUGACGAUGCGCCACAAGUGUUAAAGAUUGUUGUUAGUGGAGCUACAGAGAUCCUUAGGCUCUUUUCAUCUUUCAACAAAAAUCCGUUAUAUGAAGUGGUUCCUGAACAGAAGAAUGAAACAUCUGUGACUUCUGUAGAUGAUAUAAUUACGAUAUUGAAGUCAGAUUAUGAUGAUGCUUAUUUCGUUACAGGAAAAUUUACUUCUGCGAUAUAUACAAUAGAUUGUAUCUUUGAAGACCCGACCAUUAGAUUUCGUGGUAGGGAGUUAUACUCACGCAACUUAAAGUUGCUUGUACCUUUUUUUGAGCAUCCAUCGAUCUCGUUACAUUACAUCGGUAAGGUUCUAAAAGGUGAAACAGAGUCUGUAACGGCAUCAUGGACUCUAAGGACAUAUCUUAAAAUACCUUGGAGGCCUCUCAUUGCCAUUGAUGGGACUACAGUCUAUGAUCUAGACGAUCAGUUUAAAAUUGUUAAGCAUGUUGAGAAUUGGAGUGUUUUCCCUCUUGAAGCAAUCGGUCAGAUAUUCACUCCUAGCUCUGGCAGGCCUGUUUAAUUUGGUAUAAACAAUUACUGUAAUCAUGCUCUACAGACUUGUCAUUUCUCGAAAAAGAUGUAAAUAAACAUUGGGCAUUAAGUGGUACGGCCUCACCAGUGAAUCAGGAUAAUGGCAAGAAGCUACGGAUUGAAGUCAUGUAUAAUAAUUUAUGUCAGAUAUAUUCACAAUGAUGGAAAUCAGCAUCUCUCUUCUCUUGCAUAUUCAUUGGCUGAUUUCAUUAUUGGCUGGAUGCUUGGAUAGGCUAUUAUACAGUAUAUAGUUCUAUUAAUUUGUUCUCAUUAAACCAAAAGAGGGAAUCGAUCUUUAAUGUUUGACAUUGUAUGAAUCUAUGUCAAUGAAUACCUGUAUUCCAAAA
This is an RNA transcript of Erigeron canadensis, 1204 nucleotides long. RefSeq lists it as uncharacterized. The transcript has 10 exons. The record is from RefSeq and is a predicted model, not a curated record. Lineage: Eukaryota; Viridiplantae; Streptophyta; Magnoliopsida; Asterales; Asteraceae.